RNAcentral lists this ribosomal RNA (484 nucleotides) under uncultured bacterium. RNAcentral's name for it is "partial 16S ribosomal RNA". It matches the Rfam family "Bacterial small subunit ribosomal RNA", at positions 28 to 523 of the family's 1533-position model. The record is from RNAcentral.
GACGAACGCUGGCGGCGUGCUUAACACAUGCAAGUCGAACGAUGAAGCCGGAGCUUGCUCUGGUGAAUUAGUGGCGAACGGGUGAGUAACACGUGAGUAACCUGCCCUUGACUCUGGGAUAACUGCGGGAAACUGUAGCUAAUACCGGAUACGACCCUCGGAGGCAUCUCCUGGGGGUGGAAAGAAUUUCGGUCAAGGAUGGACUCGCGGCCUAUCAGCUAGUUGGUGAGGUAAAGGCUCACCAAGGCGACGACGGGUAGACGGCCUGAGAGGGUGACCGGCCACACUGGGACUGAGACACGGCCCAGACUUCUACGGGAGGCAGCAGUGGGGAAUAUUGCACAAUGGGCGCAAGCCUGAUGCAGCAACGCCGCGUGAGGGAUGACGGCCUACGGGUUGUAAACCUCUUUUAGCAGGGAAGAAGCGAAAGUGACGGUACCUGCAGAAAAAGCACCGGCUAACUACGUGCCAGCAGCCGCCGUAA